CGUUAAUUUUUGUUCUGUUUUUCUUACGUUUUUUGCCGGGUUUACCCCAUUAUUAAGAAAUCUACAGAGAAAAUCGAAAAAUGACCUCCGCCAUGUGCCAACUGAAUGUUCAUUUCAGAAAAUAUGCUACACUUGAAGACGGCAGCCAGAUUUCUGGUGGAAAACAACAAAUCGGUGUUGACGGAUCCGUUAUUUUUCUCUUGCGAUAUUCGAAUAUAAAACGUAGAACAAGGAAAACACUCGAAAACGAAAACAGCUUCAACCACAGUAUAAAGAAUAAUACGCAGUAGAGAAACUUCGCUGUAUAUUUUACAUUAAUAAUAUUGUUUUCACCGCAACCGGUGAGCUGCACUAAAUCCGGCUGACCACGCCCAUAAAACUGCGCUUGUUUACAACGGAUCGGUCAAAACUGUUACUGAUAACAAUACAACUACGGUUAUCCUAUU
Non-coding RNA from Cinara cedri, 446 nucleotides. Lineage: Eukaryota; Metazoa; Arthropoda; Insecta; Hemiptera; Aphididae. The record is from the annotation of a GenBank genome assembly.